This 236-nucleotide ribosomal RNA is filed under the name uncultured bacterium. RNAcentral describes it as "partial 16S ribosomal RNA". It matches the Rfam family "Bacterial small subunit ribosomal RNA", at positions 1255 to 1500 of the family's 1533-position model. The record is from RNAcentral.
CGGCGACGCCGAGCGGACCCGAAAGCCGUUCUCAGUUCGGAUCGGAGUCUGCAACCCGACUCCGUGAAGCUGGAUUCGCUAGUAAUCGCGCAUCAGCCAUGGCGCGGUGAAUACGUUCCCGGGCCUUGUACACACCGCCCGUCAAGCCAUGGGAGCCGGGGGUGCUUGAAGUGCGUCGCCGCGAGGCGCGCCCUAGAGCAAAACCGGUGACUGGGGCUAAGUCGUAACAAGGUACC